This 209-nucleotide ribosomal RNA is filed under the name Clostridioides difficile. Its description in RNAcentral is "partial 23S ribosomal RNA". It matches the Rfam family "Bacterial large subunit ribosomal RNA", at positions 658 to 866 of the family's 2925-position model. Lineage: Bacteria; Bacillati; Bacillota; Clostridia; Peptostreptococcales; Peptostreptococcaceae. The record is from RNAcentral.
GUGUGGAGCCGUAGCGAAAGCGAGUUUUAACUGAGCGUUCAGUUACUUGACGUAGACCCGAAACCGGGCGACCUACCCAUGGGCAGGAUGAAGCGAAAGUAAAAUUUCGUGGAGGUCCGAACCCACGAGCGGUGAAAUUCCAAUCGAGCCCGGAGAUAGCUGGUUCUCCCCGAAAUAGAGCCCGGAGAUAGCUGGUUCUCCCCGAAAUA